This 523-nucleotide ribosomal RNA is filed under the name uncultured bacterium. RNAcentral describes it as "bacterial SSU rRNA". It matches the Rfam family "Bacterial small subunit ribosomal RNA", at positions 65 to 632 of the family's 1533-position model. The record is from RNAcentral.
CACGGACCUUUCGGGGUGAGUGGCGGACGGGUGAGUAUCGCGUAGGGAUCUAUCCAUGGGUGGGGGAUAACAUCGGGAAACUGGUGCUAAUACCGCAUGAUACCUGAGGGUCAAAGGCGCAAGUCGCCUGUGGAGGAGCCUGCGUUCGAUUAGCUUGUUGGUGGGGUAAAGGCCUACCAAGGCGAUGAUCGAUAGCUGGUCUGAGAGGAUGAUCAGCCACACUGGGACUGAGACACGGCCCAGACUCCUACGGGAGGCAGCAGUGGGGAAUAUUGGACAAUGGGCGAAAGCCUGAUCCAGCAAUGCCGCGUGUGUGAAGAAGGUCUUCGGAUUGUAAAGCACUUUCGACGGGGACGAUGAUGACGGUACCCGUAGAAGAAGCCCCGGCUAACUUCGUGCCAGCAGCCGCGGUAAUACGAAGGGGGCUAGCGUUGCUCGGAAUGACUGGGCGUAAAGGGCGCGUGGGCGGUUUACACAGUCAGAUGUGAAAUUCCAGGGCUUAACCUUGGGGCUGCAUUUGAUA